This 217-nucleotide long non-coding RNA is filed under the name Mytilus galloprovincialis (Mediterranean mussel). The record is from RNAcentral. Lineage: Eukaryota; Metazoa; Mollusca; Bivalvia; Mytilida; Mytilidae.
GCAUGGUUCAAUGAGAUAAUGAUUCUUACUGACUGAUUUAAUUCUUGUCCUUGAUGGAUUAAUAAUUUUUUUGAAAAAGUAGCCUGGUAAUACUAACAAUGAUGUACAAAUUUUAGAUCAUGAAAAGAAUUUACAAUAUAAAAAAGAGGACGUGGUAUGAUUGCCAAUAGGACAACUCUGCACAAAAGACGGUUAGAGACCAAAUGACACAGAAAUU